This 2262-nucleotide ribosomal RNA is filed under the name Streptococcus agalactiae. Its description in RNAcentral is "bacterial LSU rRNA". It matches the Rfam family "Bacterial large subunit ribosomal RNA", at positions 1 to 2282 of the family's 2925-position model. The record is from RNAcentral. Lineage: Bacteria; Bacillati; Bacillota; Bacilli; Lactobacillales; Streptococcaceae.
UAAGGUUAAGUUAAUAAGGGCGCACGGUGGAUGCCUUGGCACUAGAAGCCGAAGAAGGACGUGACUAACGACGAAAUGCUUUGGGGAGCUGUAAGUAAGCGCUGAUCCAGAGAUGUCCGAAUGGGGGAACCCACUAGUUAAUGACUAGUAUCCAUAUCUGUUAAGGAUAUGAGAAGGAAGACGCAGUGAACUGAAACAUCUAAGUAGCUGCAGGAAGAGAAAGCAAAAGCGAUUGCCUUAGUAGCGGCGAGCGAAACGGCAGGAGGGCAAACCGAAGUGUUUACACUUCGGGGUUGUAGGACUGCGAUAUAGGAUUAAUCAUUAUAGAAGAAUUACCUGGGAAGGUAAGCCAAAGAGAGUAACAGCCUCGUAUUUAAAAUGAUAGAUUAACCUUAGCAGUAUCCUGAGUACGGCGAGACACGCGAAAUCUCGUCGGAAUCUGGGAGGACCAUCUCCCAACCCUAAAUACUCUCUAGUGACCGAUAGUGAACCAGUACCGUGAGGGAAAGGUGAAAAGCACCCCGGGAGGGGAGUGAAAUAGAACCUGAAACCGUGUGCCUACAACAAGUUCGAGCCCGUUAAUGGGUGAGAGCGUGCCUUUUGUAGAAUGAACCGGCGAGUUACGAUAUGAUGCGAGGUUAAGUUGAAGAGACGGAGCCGUAGGGAAACCGAGUCUUAAUAGGGCGUCAUAGUAUCAUGUUGUAGACCCGAAACCAUGUGACCUACCCAUGAGCAGGUUGAAGGUGAGGUAAAACUCACUGGAGGACCGAACCAGGGCACGUUGAAAAGUGCUUGGAUGACUUGUGGGUAGCGGAGAAAUUCCAAACGAACUUGGAGAUAGCUGGUUCUCUCCGAAAUAGCUUUAGGGCUAGCGUCGAUGUUAAGUCUCUUGGAGGUAGAGCACUGUUUGGGUGAGGGGUCCAUCCCGGAUUACCAAUCUCAGAUAAACUCCGAAUGCCAACGAGAUAUAAUCGGCAGUCAGACUGCGAGUGCUAAGAUCCGUAGUCGAAAGGGAAACAGCCCAGACCACCAGCUAAGGUCCCAAAAUAUAUGUUAAGUGGAAAAGGAUGUGGGGUUGCACAGACAACUAGGAUGUUAGCUUAGAAGCAGCUAUUCAUUCAAAGAGUGCGUAAUAGCUCACUAGUCGAGUGACCCUGCGCCGAAAAUGUACCGGGGCUAAAACAUAUUACCGAAGCUGUGGAUGACACAAAAGUGUCAUGGUAGGAGAGCGUUCUAUGUGUGAAGAAGGUGUACCGUGAGGAGCGCUGGAACGCAUAGAAGUGAGAAUGCCGGUAUGAGUAGCGCAAGACAGGUGAGAAUCCUGUCCACCGUAAGACUAAGGUUUCCAGGGGAAGGCUCGUCCGCCCUGGGUUAGUCGGGACCUAAGGAGAGACCGAAAGGUGUAUCCGAUGGACAACAGGUUGAUAUUCCUGUACUAGAGUAUAUAGUGAUGGAGGGACGCAGUAGGCUAACUAAACCAGACGAUUGGAAGUGUCUGGUCAAACAGUGAGGUGUGAUAUGAGUCAAAUGCUUAUAUCUUUAACAUUGAGCUGUGACGAGGAGCGAAGUUUAGUAGCGAAGUUAGUGAUGUCACACUGCCAAGAAAAGCUUCUAGCGAUACAUAUACUCUACCCGUACCGCAAACCGACACAGGUAGUCGAGGCGAGUAGCCUCAGGUGAGCGAGAGAACUCUCGUUAAGGAACUCGGCAAAAUGGCCCCGUAACUUCGGGAGAAGGGGCGCUGAUUUUAGAUCAGCCGCAGUGAAUAGGCCCAAGCAACUGUUUAUCAAAAACACAGCUCUCUGCUAAAUCGUAAGAUGAUGUAUAGGGGGUGACGCCUGCCCGGUGCUGGAAGGUUAAGAGGAGUGCUUAGCGUAAGCGAAGGUAUGAAUUGAAGCCCCAGUAAACGGCGGCCGUAACUAUAACGGUCCUAAGGUAGCGAAAUUCCUUGUCGGGUAAGUUCCGACCCGCACGAAAGGCGUAAUGAUUUGGGCACUGUCUCAACGAGAGACUCGGUGAAAUUUUAGUACCUGUGAAGAUGCAGGUUACCCGCGACAGGACGGAAAGACCCCAUGGAGCUUUACUGCAGUUUGAUAUUGAGUAUCUGUACCACAUGUACAGGAUAGGUAGGAGCCUAUGAUAACGGGACGCCAGUUUCGUUUGAGGCGUUGUUGGGAUACUACCCUUGUGUUAUGGCUACUCUAACCCAGAUAGGCAAUCCCUAUCGGAGACAGUGUCUGACGGGCAGUUUGACUGGGGCGG